CCUACGGGUGGCAGCAGUGAGGAAUAUUGGUCAAUGGGCGGAAGCCUGAACCAGCCAAGUAGCGUGCAGGAUGACGGCCCUACGGGUUGUAAACUGCUUUUAUACGGGAAUAACGCGCCUUACGUGUAGGGCUUUGCAUGUACCGUAUGAAUAAGGACCGGCUAAUUCCGUGCCAGCAGCCGCGGUAAUACGGAAGGUCCGGGCGUUGUCCGGAUUUAAUGGGUUUAAAGGGAGCGUAGGCCGGAUGUCAAGCGUGCUGUGAAAUGUCCGGGCUCAACCCGGGUCUUGCAGCGCGAACUGGCGUGCUUGAGUCCGCGGAAGGAAAGCGGAAUUCGUCGUGUAGCGGUGAAAUGCUUAGAUAUGACGAAGAACCCCGAUUGCGAAGGCAGCUUGCUGCAGCGGAACUGACGCUGAUGCUCGAAAGCGCGGGUAUCGAACAGGAUUAGAUACCCUGGUAGUC
This 460-nucleotide ribosomal RNA is filed under the name uncultured bacterium. RNAcentral's name for it is "partial 16S ribosomal RNA". It matches the Rfam family "Bacterial small subunit ribosomal RNA", at positions 338 to 795 of the family's 1533-position model. The record is from RNAcentral.